GCCGUGCUUCACUGCGAAUUCUGUGAAUUCUCCUCCGGCUACAUCCAGAGCAUCAGGCGUCAUUACCGGGACAAGCAUGGUGGGAAGAAGCUUUUCAAGUGCAAAGACUGCUCCUUUUACACAGGCUUUAAAUCUGCUUUUACUAUGCACGUGGAAGCUGGGCACUCAGCGGUUCCCGAGGAGGGCCCCAAAGAUCUUCGCUGUCCUCUCUGCCUCUAUCACACCAAAUACAAGCGCAACAUGAUUGACCACAUCGUGCUGCACCGAGAAGAGCGUGUUGUCCCCAUUGAAGUUUGCCGGUCCAAACUGUCCAAAUACUUGCAGGGAGUAGUUUUCCGCUGUGAUAAGUGUACCUUCACCUGCUCCAGUGAUGAGAGCCUCCAGCAACAUAUAGAAAAGCACAAUGAACUGAAACCUUACAAAUGCCAGCUCUGCUACUAUGAGACCAAGCACACGGAGGAACUGGACAGCCACCUUCGGGAUGAGCAUAAGAUGAUUUGCAUUAUAAUGGGAAAAGCUUGAGCUGUGUCAUCUGGAGAUCUGAGUCCUAACUAAUCCUGGCUUCAUCACUUACCUGUUUUGUGAUCUUCAUCUACAAAUAUAGAAGGCAACACAUUUACUGCACAAUGGUCGUAAGGGAUAAGUGAUACACGUA
Molecule: small RNA, 655 nt
Filed under: Pan troglodytes (chimpanzee)
Lineage: Eukaryota; Metazoa; Chordata; Mammalia; Primates; Hominidae
Description: processed transcript
Source: RNAcentral